GAGCGGUUCGCCGCCCGCGACGUCGCAAGAAGUCCACUGAACCUUAUCAUUUAGAGGAAGGAGAAGUCGUAACAAGGUUUCCGUAGGUGAACCUGCGGAAGGAUCAUUGUCGAAUCCUGCAAACAACCGCGAACACGUCCGGCGCGGAAAGCGCCAAGGACUACUCAAACGGAUCGUCCGGGUCGGCUUCCGCGGGGAGGGGCUCGGCACGUCUGAAACGUAAGCUAAACGACUCUCGGCAACGGAUAUCUAGGCUCUCGCAUCGAUGAAGAACGUAGCGAAAUGCGAUACUUGGUGUGAAUUGCAGAAUCCCGUGAACCAUCGAGUUUUUGAACGCAAGUUGCGCCCGAAGCCAUUAGGCCGAGGGCACGCUUGCCUGGGCGUCACGCAUCGUCGCCACCCGUGGCGGAAAUUGGCCCCCCGUUGGCGGUCGGCCUAAAUGCCAGUGUCCGCCGAGCGGGACGUCACGACAAGUGGUGGUUGAAAUCCUCAACUCGAUCGACGCCGUGACCGAAGCCGGCUAGGCACGAAAGACCCCGGUCCUCGACCAUGACCCCAGGUCAAGCGGGAUUACCCGCUGAGUUUAAGCAUAUCAAUAAGCG
RNAcentral lists this ribosomal RNA (602 nucleotides) under Kohautia dolichostyla. Its description in RNAcentral is "eukaryotic LSU rRNA". The stretch from base 231 to 386 matches the Rfam family "5.8S ribosomal RNA". The record is from RNAcentral. Lineage: Eukaryota; Viridiplantae; Streptophyta; Magnoliopsida; Gentianales; Rubiaceae.